Molecule: long non-coding RNA, 2380 nt
Filed under: Olea europaea subsp. europaea
Lineage: Eukaryota; Viridiplantae; Streptophyta; Magnoliopsida; Lamiales; Oleaceae
Source: RNAcentral
AAUAACCUCCAUCUUGGUGUCAAAGGACUUGCAAAGAAAAACGUUUUCCAUUAGUGACACCUCUAAUAGAAAAUCGAUAAAAUUGAAAUCAUUUACCUGUACCGAUGUUUAGAAGCUCCUUACAACUUCUAAACUUUACCAAUGACAGCACUUUCAUGCCCAUAUUUGAAGGAUUAUAUUGUGUGUGAAUUUUUUCAAAUUUUACUACUUCUUGUGAUAUUAUAUCCCUAAUGAAGUGUAACCUAACAUCGAUAUGUUUAGUGCGUUCGUGAAAAACAAGAUUCUUACACAGAUGUAUGGAUAACUGACUAUCAGAGUACACAACCACAUACUCAUUCAAGACACUCAGUUCAUGAAGUAGACCUCUAAGCCAUAGAGCCUCUUUAAUUGCUUCAGUGGUGGCAAUAUAUUCUGACUCUGUAGUGGAUAGUGCAACUAUGUGUUGUAACUGUGAUUUCCAACUAACACACGAAUUUGAUAAGGUGAAUACGUAAGAGGAAGUUGAUUUCCUACCAUCCCUAUCUCCUGCAUAGUCAGCAUUUACAAAACCCUUUAAUUUCACGCCUUCCUUAUUAGCACUAGAUUUUAGACCUGCGUCACUUGUACCCUUCAAAUAUCUUAAAAGCCACUUUAAUGCUUCCCAAUGUUUAGGACCUGGAUUAGACAUGUACCUACUGAAAGUACUAACAGUGAAUCCUAAGUCUGAUCUAGUGCAAACCAUCAAAUACAUUAUGGAACCAAUCACAUUUGAGUAUGGAAUUUUACUCAUGUAUUCCACUUCACGUUCAUUGCAGGGAGCUUGUUCUUUAGAUAGAACAAAAUGGUUUGCAAGAGGCAACGUGACAGGUUUGCAGUCACUCAUAUUAAACCUUUUCAACACCUUUGAUAUGUAUGGAGACUGAUGCAAGAAUACGAUGGAAUUUGACCUAUUUCGUUCUAUUUUCAUGCCUAAAAUCCUUUUAGCCUUUCCUAGGUCUUUCAUGUCAAAUUCUCCACUAAGAUCUACUUUUAUAUUGUUUAUCCACUUAGGAGAUGAUCCAACUAAAAGCAUGUCGUCCACAUAGAGCAACAAAAAUAAAUAAUUGUUAUCAGUCUCGUUGUGUUGAAAGUAUAGGCAGUGAUCGAAUUUACUUCUUUGAAAUCCUAUAGUGAGUACAAAGGAAUCAAACCUCUUGUACCACUGUCUAGGUGAUUGCUUUAGACCGUAUAGGGAUCUUCUCAGAAAACACAUAUAAUCAGGUUUUAACUUGUUUUUAAAACCUUUUGGUUGAUUCAUAAAGAUUUGUUCAUCAAGCUCUCCAUGUAAAAAAGCGGUUUUUUACAUCGAGUUGUUCAAGUUCCCAGUCAAAGAGCGCAACCAAUGCGAGCAUGACCCUAAUAGUAGUGUACUUGACAACUGGUGAGAAAAUCUCAUUAUAAUCAACACCUUCUUUUUGUGUGUAACCCUUCGCUACUAACCUAGCCUUAAAUCUUAAGGGUUCUGUACUACUAGUACCUUUCUUAACCUUAAAGACCCACUUGCAAUCAACGAUUGAUUUAUUCUUAGGUCUCGGUCCAAGUUUGAUUCUUUUCUAGAGAACUCAUCUCUUCUUUCAUAGCCUUAAGCCACUCCUUAGAUUGACCACUAUUCAUAGCCUCUUCAAAAGUUUCCGGCUCCCUAUCAACUAGUUCUUCGUAACUAGCGUAUGCAAAAUCCAAUUCAGAUUCAUACCCGAACCUUCUAGGUUCUCUCGUUUAUCUUCUCUCUCUAUCUCUAACUAAAUUAUAGUUAGCUAAUGGAUUUUCUUCCUCAGGAUGCUCUUCUAUUACUACUUCAUUUUCCUCUUCGGGUUCUUGGACCUGAAUCUCCACCUCACUCAAAGUACUAGGUACUGAUGUGUUAAAUUUUCCUAACUCCACCUUAAACCGAUUUUUCUCUUCACUUGAUUCAGUUUCACUUACAGGUUCGGUUUCGUUCUUUAGACAAGGCAUCUCACUCUCAUUAAAUGUGACAUCCCUACUCACGAUGAUCUUAACUCCUUUUUGGCUUCUAUCCCAUAGCCUAUAGCCCUUCAGGAUAUCCUAGAAAGACACACUUCCUGGCUCUAGGUUCUAACUUUCCCUCACUUUGAUGAGAAAAGGCAGCACAGCCAAACGCUUUAAGCAUUGAGUAGUCACCCAAUUUUUCAGACCAUUUCUCAUGUGGAGUAUCACCAUUUAAUGCAGCCGAUGGAGUCAAAUUUAUUAGAUAACAGGCAAUGACAACGGCUUCACCCCAAAAUGACUUAGGAACCCCAGAACUUAACAUCAUGCAGCACACUUUGUCUAAUAUGGUCCUAUUCAUUCUUUCUGCUACCCCGUUUUGCUGGGGAGUAUAAGGAACCAUUUUGUGCCUUGUUAU